Molecule: ribosomal RNA, 459 nt
Filed under: uncultured bacterium
Lineage: Bacteria
Description: partial 16S ribosomal RNA
Rfam family: Bacterial small subunit ribosomal RNA
Source: RNAcentral
CUACGGGCGGCUGCAGUAAGGAAUAUUGCGCAAUGGAGGCAACUCUGACGCAGCCAUGCCGCGUGCAGGAAGAAGGCCUUAUGGGUCGUAAACUGCUUUUAUUUAGGAAUAAACCCCCGAACGUGUUCGGGGCUGAAGGUACUAAACGAAUAAGCACCGGCUAACUCCGUGCCAGCAGCCGCGGUAAUACGGAGGGUGCAGGCGUUAUCCGGAUUUAUUGGGUUUAAAGGGUGCGCAGGCGGGCUAUUAAGUCAGUGGUGAAAUCCCGGGGCUCAACUCCGGAACUGCCAUUGAUACUGAUAGUCUUGAGUUUGGUUGAAGUGGGCGGAAUGUAGCAUGUAGCGGUGAAAUGCAUAGAUAUGCUACAGAACACCAAUCGCGAAGGCAGCUCACUAAGCCAAAACUGACGCUCAUGCACGAAAGCGUGGGGAUCAAACAGGAUUAGAUACCCCUGUAGUC